GAUGAACGCUGGCGGCGUGCCUAAUACAUGCAAGUCGAGCGAACAGAUGAGGAGCUUGCUCCUCUGACGUUAGCGGCGGACGGGUGAGUAACACGUGGAUAACCUACCUAUAAGACUGGGAUAACUUCGGGAAACCGGAGCUAAUACCGGAUAAUAUAUUGAACCGCAUGGUUCAAUAGUGAAAGACGGUUUUGCUGUCACUUAUAGAUUGAUCCGCGCCGCAUUAGCUAGUUGGUAAGGUAACGGCUUACCAAGGCGACGAUGCGUAGCCGACCUGAGAGGGUGAUCGGCCACACUGGAACUGAGACACGGUCCAGACUCCUACGGGAGGCAGCAGUAGGGAAUCUUCCGCAAUGGGCGAAAGCCUGACGGAGCAACGCCGCGUGAGUGAUGAAGGUCUUCGGAUCGUAAAACUCUGUUAUUAGGGAAGAACAAAUGUGUAAGUAACUAUGCACGUCUUGACGGUACCUAAUCAGAAAGCCACGGCUAACUACGUG
This 497-nucleotide ribosomal RNA is filed under the name uncultured bacterium. RNAcentral describes it as "partial 16S ribosomal RNA". It matches the Rfam family "Bacterial small subunit ribosomal RNA", at positions 28 to 507 of the family's 1533-position model. The record is from RNAcentral.